RNAcentral lists this ribosomal RNA (487 nucleotides) under uncultured bacterium. Its description in RNAcentral is "partial 16S ribosomal RNA". It matches the Rfam family "Bacterial small subunit ribosomal RNA", at positions 28 to 523 of the family's 1533-position model. The record is from RNAcentral.
GAUGAACGCUGGCGGCGUGCUUAACACAUGCAAGUCGAACGAAGCACUUUGGGGUUUUCGGACAAAGAAGUGACUGAGUGGCGGACGGGUGAGUAACGCGUGGGUAACCUGCCUUAUACAGGGGGAUAACAGUUAGAAAUGACUGCUAAUACCGCAUAAGCCGAUAGAGUCGCAUGACUUAGUCGGAAAAGAUUUAUCGGUAUAAGAUGGACCCGCGACUGAUUAGCUAGUUGGUGAGGUAAUGGCCCACCAAGGCGACGAUCAGUAGCCGGCUUGAGAGAGUGAACGGCCACAUUAGGACUGAGACACGGCCCAAACUCCUACGGGAGGCAGCAGUGGGGAAUAUUGCACAAUGGGGGAAACCCUGAUGCAGCAACGCCGCGUGGAGGAAGAAGUAUUUCGGUAUGUAAACUUCUAUCAGCAGGGAAGAAAAUGACGGUACCUGACUAAGAAGCCCCGGCUAACUACGUGCCAGCAGCCGCAGUAA